Molecule: ribosomal RNA, 497 nt
Filed under: uncultured bacterium
Lineage: Bacteria
Description: partial 16S ribosomal RNA
Rfam family: Bacterial small subunit ribosomal RNA
Source: RNAcentral
GAUGAACGCUGGCGGCGUGCCUAAUACAUGCAAGUCGAGCGAACGGACGAGAAGCUUGCUUUUCUGAUGUUAGCGGCGGACGGGUGAGUAACACGUGGAUAACCUACCUAUAAGACUGGGAUAACUUCGGGAAACCGGAGCUAAUACCGGAUAAUAUUUUGAACCGCAUGGUUCAAAAGUGAAAGACGGUCUUGCUGUCACUUAUAGAUGGAUCCGCGCUGCAUUAGCUAGUUGGUAAGGUAACGGCUUACCAAGGCAACGAUGCAUAGCCGACCUGAGAGGGGGAUCCGCCACACUGGAACUGAGACACGGUCCAGACUCCUACGGGAGGCAGCAGUAGGGAAUCUUCCGCAAUGGGCGAAAGCCUGACGGAGCAACGCCGCGUGAGUGAUGAAGGUCUUCGGAUCGUAAAACUCUGUUAUUAGGGAAGAACAUAUGUGUAAGUAACUGUGCACAUCUUGACGGUACCUAAUCAGAAAGCCACGGCUAACUACGUG